RNAcentral lists this microRNA precursor (77 nucleotides) under Myotis brandtii (Brandt's bat). RNAcentral describes it as "mir-9229 microRNA precursor family". It matches the Rfam family "mir-9229 microRNA precursor family". Lineage: Eukaryota; Metazoa; Chordata; Mammalia; Chiroptera; Vespertilionidae. The record is from Rfam by way of RNAcentral.
GAGACACUCCUAUAGAGCAAGACUUUGCUUUAGUGGGGCUUUGGUGCUCACUGAGUCUGCCCCUUGAGUGUGUUGCU